CAUUCCCUGAUCCCCAGCAUCAUGGAAUAUCCGUACAUCCGGCCUACGGUCAAGACACGUCAUCACUUGGGACCGGUCCGACGAGAUGCCCCGUGCUACCGCCCUCACGGCAUCGGAAUCCCACAUGAGUGAGUGUCCACGUCAGCAGCACUGGCGGCGCCACCUCUGCAAACUAUAAAAACUGCCUCCGCUCUCUCCCCAGAAGCCUUCCCUCUUUCUGUUGGUAUAAUUCUAUACACAGAUACGAUUCUUCUACGUAGAACACGCAGCGGGCGGAGCCGGAGGGCCAGAGGAUAUGCGAAGCUGCUGGGCCGGCCGGAGUGACUCGUCCGAGAAUUCAAGGGCAUGUCGACGGAGAGACUCAUCCCCAACAGAAUGGCCAAAUCACACUCGAUGCAUUUGCCGCACGCCAGCUCCCAGCGCCACUGCGCCGCCGACGCCGAGUCUAACUGGAUCUUCGAUGAGCUGCCGAAGGCCACCAUCUUGUCCGUCUCCAAGCCCGACCCGGCGGAUUUCAGCCCCAUUCUCCUCUCUUACACCAUCGAAGUUCAGUACAAGCAGUUUAAAUGGUGCCUUUACAAGAAAGCUUCACAAGUCCUCUUUCUGCACUUCGCUUUGAAGAAGCGUGCAUUUAUCGAGGAACUUCAUGAGAAGCAAGAGCAGGUUAAAGAAUGGCUCCAAAGCUUAGGAAUUGUAGAUCAGAUGGCAGUAGUGCCAGAUGAUGAUGAACCCGAUGAUGGCGCUGUACCGGUGAAUCAUGCGGAAAGGACUAAAAACAGGUAUGUUCCAUCAAGGGCUGCUUUGCCAAUCAUACGUCCAUCACUGGGGAAGCAGCAAACAAUUUCAGACAGGGCAAAGGUGGCAAUGCACAAUUACCUGAAUCACUUUCUCGGGAACCUGGACAUCGUGAAUUCUCGGGAGGUCUGCAAAUUCCUCGAGGUCUCUAAACUCUCAUUCUCAUUGGAAUAUGGCCCAAAGCUAAAAGAAGGCUAUGUGUUUGUGAAGCACUUGGGAAAGAUUUCCCGAGUCAAUGAGGAUGUCGGUUGUUUACCUUGUCUAUGGUUUGGGUUCUGCAGUAACAACUGGCAGAAGGUUUGGGCAGUACUGAAAUCCGGGUUUCUGGCACUUCUUGCGGACCCUUUUGAUCCAGAACCAUUGGACAUAGUUGUUUUCGAUAUAUUACCAGGUUCUAAUGGAAAAGAAAUGUCUGGGACUUACUUAGCGGACCAGAUUAAGGAACGAAAUCCUCUUUACUAUUACUUUAAGGUUUCUUGUGGGAAUCGGUGCAUAAACUUAAGAACUACCAGUAGUGGUAAAGUGAAGAGUUGGGUUUCUGCAAUUAAUAAUGCAGCCCAGAAGCCUCCUGAAGGAUGGUGCAACCCUCAUCGGUUCGGUUCAUAUGCACCACCUCGGGGCCUGACUGAAGAUGGAAGUCAAGCUCAGUGGUAUAUAGACGGGGAGGCAGCUUUCGAAGCCAUUGCAUCUGCAAUAGAAGAAGCAAAAUCCGAGAUUUUCGUGACGGGCUGGUGGCUUUGCCCGGAACUCUAUCUAAGGCGUCCUUUUCAAAGUCAGUCUUCCGUGAGACUAGAUGCUUUGCUCGAAGCAAAAGCUAAGCAGGGAGUUCAGAUUUACAUUCUUCUCUACAAGGAGGUCCCGCUUGCUCUAAAGAUCAAUAGUUUUUACAGUAAGAAGAAGCUCCUCGGAAUUCAUGAGAACGUGAGGGUACUGCGAUGCCCUGAUCAUUUCUCCACGGGCAUUUAUCUAUGGUCUCACCAUGAAAAACUAGUCAUUGUUGAUUACCGGGUAUGCUUUCUUGGGGGGCUAGACUUAUGCUUCGGGCGUCACGAUACGACAGAACACAAAGUGGGUGAUUGUCCUCCAGUUUUGUGGCCAGGAAAGGACUAUUACAAUCCGAGAGAAUCAGAACCAAAUUCCUGGGAGGAAACAGCAACAGAUGAACUUGACCGGGAGAAAUAUCCACGGAUGCCAUGGCACGAUGUUCACUGUGCCCUAUGGGGGCCACCCUGUCGUGACGUUGCUAGGCAUUUUGUUCAGCGUUGGAAUCAUGCGAAGAGAAACAAAGCACCAAACGAGCAAACAAUCCCGCUUCUCAUUCCUCAGCACCACAUGGUCAUCCCUCACUACAUGGGAAGAACCACUGAGAUAGACAUUAAAAGUGAGAACAACACGGAAGAGAACCAGGACAACAUCAUGAGACCAAAUAUUUUUUCCUCGCCAUCCCUCCUGCAAGGCAUCCCGCUUCUUCUACCUCAGGAAGCUGAGCACCCAAACAAUGAUUUAAAUUCCGACCAUAAGUUGAACCAUCACAAGGAACCUUCUGCAUGCUGUGAAAGCUUUUUGCUGAGCUGCAAGAAGUCGAAAGUCGAGGGUGCAGUUCACAAUACUCAACUGAGAGGCUUUGUAGAUGAUGUUGAAGAUCAAUGCGACGAUCCCGAAGAAUCCAUAGAGUGCAGGAUGAAAAUAAAGGAUGAGCGCUUGCGCACACCCAAAGAAAGCGAUGAUGAUGAUCUUUUCAGCGGCGGGUUGAAAGAAGUAGGCCCGAGGACCUCUUGUCGCUGUCAAGUCGUUAGAAGCUCAAGCCAGUGGUCUGCUGGAAUAAGUCAAACUGAAGACAGCAUUCAGAAGGCUUACUGUCUGCUCAUCGAAAGGGCAGAGCACUUCAUCUACAUCGAGAACCAAUUUUUCAUUUCAGGCCUUUCGGGAGAUGAAGUAAUACAGAAUCGUGUCCUAGAUGCCCUAUACAAGCGCAUCAUGAGAGCACACAAAGAGCAGAGGUGUUUCAGGGUAGUUAUCGUCAUUCCACUAUUACCUGGCUUCCAGGGGGGUCUUGAUGAUAGCGGGGCCGCGACAGUUCGAGCCAUUAUUCACUGGCAAUAUCGAACUAUCAGCAGGGAGAAAACAUCGAUACUGCAUCACCUUAAAAUAUUGCUUGGAGAUAAAGUACAUGAUUAUAUAUCCUUCUACGGUCUACGAUCUUAUGGCAGACUCUGUGAAGGUGGACCCGUCGCAACUAGUCAGGUUUAUGUGCACAGCAAGGUUAUGAUAAUAGACGAUCGAGCUGCCUAUGUUGGAUCAUCAAACAUUAAUGAUCGGAGUUUGCUUGGAUCAAGAGACUCUGAGAUUGGGGUGAUCGUCGAAGAUAAAGAGUUUGUUGAGUCAUCAAUGAAUGGAGAGCCUUGGAAGGCAGGGAUGUUUUCCCACAGUCUUCGGUGUUCCUUGUGGGCUGAACAUCUGGGACUCAACGGUGGAGAGAUUUGUCAAAUAAGGGAUCCAAUAGCUGAUGCAACUUACAAAGAUUUGUGGCUGUCAACUGCUAAGGCAAAUAGCGACAUCUAUGAUGAUGUCUUUGCUUGCAUUCCCAAUGAUAACAUCCGUUCGAGAGCUGCGCUGAGACAAAGCAUGGCAUACUGGAAGGAGAAGAUCGGGCACACAACCAUCGAUCUAGGAAUAGCCCCUGAGAAGCUAGAAUCCGAACACGGAGGAGGAACUGAAGGCAUCGACCCGAUGGAGAGACUCAGAAGGGUCAGGGGACAUCUAGUUACCUUUCCCUUGGAAUUCAUGUCUCAAGAAUCCGACUUGAGACCAGUAUUCAAUGAGAGCGAGUUCUACGCAGGCCCUCACGUGUACCACUGAUAUAAGUUAUACCCGUGGGUCCGAAAGAAAGAAUUCAAUAGGUUAUUUUAGUUGAAGCAAUUGUACAGCGAUUGUUUAGCAGCACGGAUUAGGAUUGACCGAUUGAUUGGCUUGAUUGAGGAAAACAUUAGACGCUAACAGGAAAUCGAUAUUAGGGCCAGACUUAACACAACAAAGGCCACAUUGGCGUGAUAUUUAUGUACAGGAAUUAGAAGUAUAUUCUAUACUUGUAUAUAUGCAAACAUCAGUAUUUAUUCUUCCACCUCAAGGUUUCAUUGGGGUUAAGGGUCGCGAUUACAUCCCGGUCCAUCCAAUGGAUAGCGUUUCUUUGAUCUACAACUCACCAAGCAUGACAUAUGAUGAUGACUUUCAUGCCUCAAACAAUUGCAGCCAAAUCCUAAGUCUGAGGAGCGAGCAUGGGCAUCCGAGUUGGUCUUUGGGAGCAAUGGGAACACUAAGUCGGACCGUCUACCAUUCGAAAACAACCGAAUAUAUCACAAACUAGAGAAUUUUCAUUUAUAAAAGGUUUCGAGUAUAUAUACCCGAAUUAGAAAGACGAUGCAGUAGUCAUCCGGGGCACUUGGCUUCGGUAAGCUUACUGCAUAUGCUUCGAGAAUUAGUCCCGAAUCUCUCCAUCCGAGUAUCGGUCUAAGUCCAUCACUGUCAUUGCCAGGGAAAGUGAAAGAGCAAAAAGCCCGUGGGCUCCGUCACUGGGCCAUCCUGCCAUGAACGGGCUUUUGACGUGGAGGGGCUCUGCUCCUGACGACGCAAGCGGAGAAGUGAAAGCUGCCAUCGUCGAGGGGGUUGGAGCUCAGCGAUGGAGUCUGCGGUGAAAUCAGGAGCACUGCUAUCUCUCGAGGACCUCCACCCGUCUUCCCCAUUUUUCGCCGACGGGUCGUCGCUCAGAUUGAUGAACAAACCCACUUGCAACCUCACUGGAAAGCUCGGGUGGCAUGAUCAUGGCUACAAGAGUAUUCUUCGGAAACGGCUUUGGCAAUUAUAGUUGAUGGAAGUGCCAAGCUGAAGGUGAACACAAACCAUCUGAGGGACCUCAGCUUUCGAGCCGGUUCAAUCUACCAAUUCAUCGGCAAUCUUGCAGGCUCGCGUGGGUAGGAAUGUGGAUGGGAUCGAUCUCAACCUCUAUCAUCAGUCUCUACAGCUCGUGAGACAGUUUCAGGCUGAGCGAACGGGCAACCGCAUGGCCCAAUGAAGCUGUAAACUGCAAUGGGUGAUGACUGGUGGGAUUUUUGUGAAGAAAGCUACUGAAUUAGAUGAGCACUGAGCAUUAUAAUUAUAACAAGUUUCUGCAAAGUCUUGUUACCAUUC
Punica granatum (pomegranate) is the source of this 4980-nucleotide non-coding RNA. Lineage: Eukaryota; Viridiplantae; Streptophyta; Magnoliopsida; Myrtales; Lythraceae. The record is from RefSeq and is a predicted model, not a curated record.